GACGAACGCUGGCGGCGUGCCUAAUACAUGCAAGUUGAGCGAUGAAGAUUGGUGCUUGCACCAAUUUGAAAAGCAGCGAACGGGUGGGUAACGCGUGGGGAAUCUGCCUUGGAGGGGGGGACAACAUUGGGAAACGAAUGCUAAAACCGCAUAACAACUUUAAACAUAAUUUUUAAGUUGGAAAGAUGCAAUUGCAUCACUAAAAGAUGAUCCCGCGUUGUAUUAGCUAGUUGGUGAGGUAAAGGCUCACCAAGGCGAUGACACAUAGCCGACCUGAGAGGGUGAUCGGCCACAUUGGGACUGAGACACGGCCCAAACUCCUACGGGAGGCAGCAGUAGGGAAUCUUCGGCAAUGGACGAAAGUCUGACCGAGCAACGCCGCGUGAGUGAAGAAGGUUUUCGGAUCGUAAAACUCUGUUGGUAGAGAAGAACGUUGGUGAGAGUGGAAAGCUCAUCAAGUGACGGUAACUACCCAGAAAGGGACGGCUAACUACGUG
RNAcentral lists this ribosomal RNA (497 nucleotides) under uncultured bacterium. RNAcentral's name for it is "partial 16S ribosomal RNA". It matches the Rfam family "Bacterial small subunit ribosomal RNA", at positions 28 to 507 of the family's 1533-position model. The record is from RNAcentral.